GUCGAGAGGCUUUGGCAAUGGGGGAAACCCUGACCAAGCGACGCCGCGUGGAGGAUGAAGGCCCUUGGGUUGUAAACUCCUUUUGUCGGGGAAGAAACACGAUCAGGUGAACAAUCUGGUCGUUUGACGGUACCCGGCGAAUAAGCUCCGGCUAACUCCGUGCCAGCAGCCGCGGUAACACGGGGGGAGCAAGCGUUGUUCGGAAUCACUGGGCGUAAAGGGCGUGUAGGCGGUCAGGUAAGUGAGAUGUGAAAUGCCCCGGCUCACCCGGGGACCGGCAUCUCAUACUGCUUGGCUUGAGUACGGGAGAGGGUGUGGGAAUUCCUGGUGUAGCGGUGAAAUGCGUAGAUAUCAGGAGGAACACCGGUGGCGAAGGCGCACACCUGGCCCGAUACUGACGCUGAGGCGCGAAAGCUAGGGGAGCAAACGGGAUUAGAAACCCCUGUAGUCC
This 451-nucleotide ribosomal RNA is filed under the name uncultured bacterium. RNAcentral describes it as "bacterial SSU rRNA". It matches the Rfam family "Bacterial small subunit ribosomal RNA", at positions 354 to 796 of the family's 1533-position model. The record is from RNAcentral.